GGCUGCGCGCGCCGCGGGUGGGCGGGGCCUGGCGGGGCAUCGGCCGGCGGGAGCCCCGCAACCCCUCACUGCCCUCGGAGCCACCGGUUCGAGUCCCGCGCCCGCGCCCCGCCCGGCUGAGGACAUGUCUUAGGAACAGAUGUCCAGCAAGAACAUGUUGGGAGGGACUGGAAAACAUUAAAGAUCCUGAGCUUUGACAUCUCCUUGUUGCACUGGAAUUGCCAGCACUGGACAAAGCCUGGUCUGCAGUGUGGGUCAAGGGUGGUGAGCAAAAAUGAGAGAAAAUUGAUUCAUUAAAAAUGUAGCUUUGGAAAGGGAGAUUCCUGC
Molecule: long non-coding RNA, 327 nt
Filed under: Parus major (Great Tit)
Lineage: Eukaryota; Metazoa; Chordata; Aves; Passeriformes; Paridae
Description: lncRNA (ENSPMJG00000010607.1)
Source: RNAcentral